GGUUAUCUUGUACACUUGAAUCUCAUGUUUUCACAUUUGAUAUUGACUAUAUUGUUAUUUUUAGUGUAUGAUAAAGCAAAACAAACAAAAACGUAAGUUCCAUUUAAAAUAAAAUUUAAAAACUGGUAUUCCAUAAUGAAGUCAUAUUCUAAUUUAUUGCCCAGCACGUGGUAUCUAUGACCUUGACCCAAGUUAAACGAAAACAGCAGAAAAAAACUGAAAUAUGGAAACGUUGGCAUCCUCAUCUGAAUAUUAGAGCUAGAGUGUCGCCGCCUUUAUACAAUUUAAUUAAGUUGUUGUACAAAGAAGCCAGAUUCGUGAAUUUUCAAGUACGGCUUGUGAGGGAUGUAGCACUUAUUCAUUAUCCCUCAUGUACAGACUCAAUCAAACCGAGUCUGCAAUCCUUCUGUUAUUUGGUUGUGAUUAAUGCUUCCGAGGGAUCACUUAGUUUCCAAAUAUUUUGUAUCAGAGAUGAAUCUGCGGUGCAUGCAACAAUGGACUUACCAAUCAAUGCAGUCGCAAGCUUGGGACAGCUAUCGCGGGAAACAACUAUCAGCAGGCGAUGUUGAAAAAAGAUUUCGAGCUUAAACCAACCAAGGGUAUUGAGACAAAAAGCAGAGUAAUAGUGUAAAGAAGUGACAGUCACCUAUAAUUCGUUGAAAAACUACUCAUAUGCCUCAUGAAUAUGCAACAGUGAUACUGCUUCAUAUGUUUAAAGUAGAUGGAAGAUAAAUGUUAAAAUUGUUUUACUCAGAUAAAAUAUAGAUUGAUUAUCAUAUAUUUUGUUCUUGUUUUCUUUGUAAUCCGUGGUUUGUCAUUUGGUAUUCCUGUCCACACACAAAAAAAUGUUGUUUUUUUUUAUCAAUAUAUAUGCAACAUUUAAAAAAUGAAAAACGGAUAAAGAAAAAAAUGAGGCCGAUCUGAAUUGGGACU
Ruditapes philippinarum (Manila clam) is the source of this 933-nucleotide long non-coding RNA. RefSeq lists it as uncharacterized. The transcript is spliced from 3 exons. Lineage: Eukaryota; Metazoa; Mollusca; Bivalvia; Venerida; Veneridae. The record is from RefSeq and is a predicted model, not a curated record.